Molecule: RNA transcript, 2004 nt
Organism: Perca flavescens (yellow perch)
Lineage: Eukaryota; Metazoa; Chordata; Actinopteri; Perciformes; Percidae
Gene name: leucine-rich repeat-containing protein 9
Exons: 7
Source: RefSeq, a predicted model, not a curated record
AGUGUCUCACCUGCAGCUGCGGGCCCACAUCGGUGUUAGAACACACAGGACGGUCAACCUUCUCCCGGUGAAUACUAGCUAACUACCCGCGGGCUCCAUGGGUAACGGCUACAGCUUUCUAGGGCUACACCGAGCCGUUCACAAUGUGUUACUAAAGAAGGCCGGGAGAAUUCAUCACGAGACGAUUGGGACAUGUCAGAAAGUUCUUCAGGUGUGAACACUCUCAGUGGCAGUUUUCCCAAAUCCCACUCAUCCCAGUACUCUGACCUCGGGAUUACACGCACACCUCUCUCUGUAGACCAGAGUCCUGAUUCUGGACUUGUAUGUACACCUCUUCCUUCAAGUCGGUUCCGGUUUGUGUCGUGGCAUCACCUGGAGCAGUGUGAUGUCACGGGUGACCAGCUGACCUGCCCCAGGGUCAGAGAAGGUCUGGAUCGCUCUGAGAAAAUCACCACUGUGACCUAUGCACUUUGAUAUUCAAAAAUAUACACGGAUUAAAUGAAACAGAAGUAAAAAGAAAUGUGAUAUAAGGACUUUCUGUGAUAUUAAAGAAGGGAGUACAGUUUUCGUAGUUGAGAGUAGAUAGUAUGAGAAAAUUCAAUUCAUAAUUUUUGUGGGAGUUGUCACGACCUGGCUCAAAGGUAUGACAAAAAAGGGGGAGACACACAUGUAUUUCCAAUCAAAUCAAAUUUAUUUAAAUAACCAAGAUAAACGUGAAUUCAGUAAAUCUGUAAUGUGUGUAAUGUAUGGGUGUCUGUAAAUGUAUCAAAGCUACAACGCAAAAUAACUAAACCCAAAAUCCAAACAAACCAAACAGCAUGGAGGAGGGAGAGACCAUGACUACUCAGGCACUCCUAUUUAUAGACAGGUGAGCAAUCAAUUGCUCCAGGUGUCACUCAUCAGUCCUCAUUAGCCAAUGCCCAACUCCCAGCCACCAAACAGCCUCCAAAGGAACUUAGGCCUAGGAGCCGUCACAGAGUAAAAGAGAAACAGGGGCUCUUACAACCAGCCAUUGGAAAGUGGGAUUUAGGGUUAUGCUGCAGUGACCUGCAUUACUUAAAGAUGACUGUCAAAUGAACUUCUACACAGACCCCUACCUAAAUUUAAAUUGAACACUCCAAAAAAGCAAUUCAUGCUGUAGUAUAUUUUCCAUUUUGUGUUGCUUUCAUUUCAUGGCCAUCAGAAGAGCUGUUUCAAAGAGAGAGGAAUGACAUCUGUUUGGAGAGAGGGAGGAGAAGGAGAGAGGAGGAAGGACAAAGAUGGGAGGAUAGACUGCAAGAGAAUUGGGAAAAUUGUCUGGAGUUAAAUCUGUCCUACCAAGACUUGGGGGACCCCUUCCAGCAAGAGAAUUUCCUUCGGAUCCUCCGCCGGUUAUUCCGUGUGGAGAAACUACAACUAGUUGACAAUUCCCUCACCAACCUGAGUUCUGUACGUCUGCCAAGGUGCAAAAUGCUAAACCUGCACCGUAACCACCUGGUGUGUCUACGUCAGCUGCCAAAGCUCCCAGCUGUGGAGCACCUUUGUCUGUCUGAGAACGCCAUUGGCUCCCUGGGGGGACUGGGAGCUCUAGGGAACAGCCCCCUUCGCUCCCUCAUCCUAACCCGCAACCCAGUGACCUUCACUCAGGACUACCGAGCACGUGUUUUCCUCUGUUUGCCAAAGCUGGAGAUCCUGGAUGGAAUCCCCAAGUUGCCAGAAGACUCUCUGCCCACCAGACUACAGUUCUCCCAAACUACCAGGAUGUGUAACAUCUUAUGACAAUUCUCUCAAUGCGUGGAUGUGUAUGGAAUCAGUUCUCCCAAUCCUACAACACUUGACACAGUGACAAGGAUUCAGCAGAGCACUCUUCAGCAAACGUCGAAGUUGCACUAAUGGUUUCAUAGAGCUGUUCAAUUUAUUUACACAAAUCGUGUCCUGACAGGUGCCGAAAAACGCUGACAAUGACUGCCGUCACAGUAAAUGUAAUGUAAUGUGCUCCAAGGCCAUGCAAAUUAUUUUUUUAUA